AAGUCGUAACAAGGUUUCCGUAGGUGAACCUGCGGAAGGAUCAUUAUUGAAAAUUAGUUAGCGUACUCUCCCGGGUGACCGACCCGUCUGGGUACAAAUAGACACCCGGAUUGUAGCAACUAUAUUCAACCACUUGUGAAUUUGUAAUUUAUAUCUUACCAACUGACUGUUAACGAAGACUGAUUCAAUAACUUUUGGUGUUUAAAGACACUAAUACAAUCAUUGAAACAACUUUUGGCAACGGAUCUCUUGGCUCUC
RNAcentral lists this unclassified non-coding RNA (258 nucleotides) under fungal sp. Its description in RNAcentral is "partial internal transcribed spacer region". The stretch from base 1 to 46 matches the Rfam family "Eukaryotic small subunit ribosomal RNA", at positions 1786 to 1831 of the family's 1831-position model. Lineage: Eukaryota; Fungi. The record is from RNAcentral.